UGGGGAAUAUUGCACAAUGGGCGCAAGCCUGAUGCAGCCAUGCCGCGUGUAUGAAGAAGGCCUUCGGGUUGUAAAGUACUUUCAGCGGGGAGGAAGGUGUUGAGGUUAAUAACCUCAGCAAUUGACCUUACCCGCAGAAGAAGCACCGGCUAACUCCGUGCCAGCAGCCGCGGUAAUACGGAGGGUGCAAGCGUUAAUCGGAAUUACUGGGCGUAAAGCGCACGCAGGCGGUCUGUCAAGUCGGAUGUGAAAUCCCCGGGCUCAACCUGGGAACUGCAUUCGAAACUGGCAGGCUAGAGUCUUGUAGAGGGGGGUAGAAUUCCAGGUGUAGCGGUGAAAUGCGUAGAGAUCUGGAGGAAUACCGGUGGCGAAGGCGGCCCCCUGGACAAAGACUGACGCUCAGGUGCGAAAGCGUGGGGAGCAAACA
RNAcentral lists this ribosomal RNA (427 nucleotides) under uncultured bacterium. RNAcentral's name for it is "partial 16S ribosomal RNA". It matches the Rfam family "Bacterial small subunit ribosomal RNA", at positions 355 to 774 of the family's 1533-position model. The record is from RNAcentral.